This 505-nucleotide ribosomal RNA is filed under the name uncultured bacterium. Its description in RNAcentral is "partial 16S ribosomal RNA". It matches the Rfam family "Bacterial small subunit ribosomal RNA", at positions 28 to 507 of the family's 1533-position model. The record is from RNAcentral.
GACGAACGCUGGCGGCGUGCCUAAUACAUGCAAGUAGAACGCACAGUUUAUACCGUAGCUUGCUACACCAUAGACUGUGAGUUGCGAACGGGUGAGUAACGCGUAGGUAACCUGCCUGGUAGCGGGGGAUAACUAUUGGAAACGAUAGCUAAUACCGCAUAAUAUUAAUUAUUGCAUGAUAAUUAAUUGAAAGGUGCAAUUGCACCACUACCAGAUGGACCUGCGUUGUAUUAGCUAGUAGGUGAGGUAACGGCUCACCUAGGCGACGAUACAUAGCCGACCUUGGAGGGUGAUCGGCCAAACCUGGACUGAGAAACGGCCCAGACCCCUACGGGAGGCAGCAGUAGGGAAACUUCGGAAAUGGACGAAAGUCUGACCGAGCAACGCCGCGUGAGGGAAGAAGGGUUUCGGAUCGUAAAGCUCUGUUGUAAGAGAAGAACGGGUGUGAGAGUGGAAAGUUCACACUGUGACGGUAUCUUACCAGAAAGGGACGGCUAACUACGUG